UCCUAUGGUGGGCCGGGUGGGGACUCCUUCGGGGGUGCCGGAGCCUGUGGUCCGGUCGGCCAACCCCGCUUCGGUCCACCCCCCAC
RNAcentral lists this non-coding RNA (86 nucleotides) under Ralstonia sp. NFACC01. The record is from RNAcentral. Lineage: Bacteria; Pseudomonadati; Pseudomonadota; Betaproteobacteria; Burkholderiales; Burkholderiaceae.